This 444-nucleotide ribosomal RNA is filed under the name uncultured Rhizobiaceae bacterium. RNAcentral's name for it is "bacterial SSU rRNA". It matches the Rfam family "Bacterial small subunit ribosomal RNA", at positions 336 to 798 of the family's 1533-position model. The record is from RNAcentral. Lineage: Bacteria; Pseudomonadati; Pseudomonadota; Alphaproteobacteria; Hyphomicrobiales; Rhizobiaceae.
CGCCUACGGGGGGCAGCAGUGGGGAAUAUUGGACAAUGGGCGCAAGCCUGAUCCAGCCAUGCCGCGUGAGUGAUGAAGGCCCUAGGGUUGUAAAGCUCUUUCACCGAUGAAGAUAAUGACGGUAGUCGGAGAAGAAGCCCCGGCUAACUUCGUGCCAGCAGCCGCGGUAAUACGAAGGGGGCUAGCGUUGUUCGGAAUUACUGGGCGUAAAGCGCACGUAGGCGGAUAUUUAAGUCAGGGGUGAAAUCCCAGAGCUCAACUCUGGAACUGCCUUUGAUACUUGGUAUCUCGAGUAUGGAAGAGGUGAGUGGAAUUCCGAGUGUAGAGGUGAAAUUCGUAGAUAUUCGCAAGAACACCAGUGGCGAAGGCGGCUCACUGGCCCGAUACUGACGCUGAGGCACGAAAGCGUGGGGAGCAAACAGGAUUAGAUACCCCUGUAGUCAC